Pimephales promelas (fathead minnow) is the source of this 213-nucleotide non-coding RNA. NCBI's taxonomy places the organism in Eukaryota, Metazoa, Chordata, Actinopteri, Cypriniformes, Leuciscidae. The record is from RefSeq and is a predicted model, not a curated record.
AUGUUGGCCAAUGAGACAGACACCAUACUGUCCAACUCAAAGAUGAGAUAUAAUCGUUUGCCCCUGUGAUUCUUCAGGACAAGAUCUUGAUCCACAUUCAGACAUGAAGAAGGGCCAUGCUCAGACCAGCACUCCUGGCAUCUCAACACCCAAGAUGGUGCUUAAAGGGAUACUCCACUUUUUUUGGUAAUAUGUUUAUUUUACAACUCCCCC